Molecule: ribosomal RNA, 468 nt
Filed under: uncultured bacterium
Lineage: Bacteria
Description: partial 16S ribosomal RNA
Rfam family: Bacterial small subunit ribosomal RNA
Source: RNAcentral
GGCGAACGCUGGCGGCGUGCUUAACACAUGCAAGUCGAACGGAAAGGCCCUGCGUUCUUGGGCUGCUGGGUGGGCAAAGGCGUGAGUAACACGUGAGUAACCUGCUCUUGACUUUGGUGUAACUUCAGGUAACUGGGGUUAAUACCGGAUAGCAUCCCCUCCUCCAUGGUAGGCAUUGGAAAUUUUCGGCGGUUGGGGAUGGACUCGCGGCUUAUCGGCUUGCUGGUUGGGUAGUUGCUUACCAAGGCUUUGACGGGUAGCCGGCAUGAGAGGGUGACCGGCCACCUUGCGCCUGCGAGACGGCCCAGAGUGCUACGGGAGGCAGCAGUGGGGAGUAUUGCACAAUGGUCGGAAGUCUGAUGCAGAAACGCCGCGUGUGGGAUGCCGGCCUUCGGGUUGUAAAACGCUUUCGCCUGUGACGAAGCGGGAGUGACGGUAAUGGGUAAAGAAGCACCGGCUAACUACGUG